RNAcentral lists this ribosomal RNA (292 nucleotides) under uncultured bacterium. Its description in RNAcentral is "partial 16S ribosomal RNA". It matches the Rfam family "Bacterial small subunit ribosomal RNA", at positions 505 to 796 of the family's 1533-position model. The record is from RNAcentral.
GUGUCAGCCGCCGCGGUAAAACGUAGGAGACGAACGUUAUCCGGAGUUACUGGGCGUAAAGGGCGUGCAGGCGGCCUGAUAAGUCUGGCGUGAAAUUUCUCGGCUUAACCGGGAGAUGUCGUCGGAUACUGUUGGGCUAGAGGGCGAUAGAGGCGUGUGGAAUUCCGGGUGUAGUGGUGAAAUGCGUAGAGAUCCGGAGGAACACCAGUGGCGAAGGCGGCACGCUGGGUCGCACCUGACGCUAAGACGCGACAGCAUGGGGAGCGAACGGGAUUAGAUACCCGGGUAGUCC